This is a non-coding RNA of Acanthosepion pharaonis, 108 nucleotides long. The record is from the annotation of a GenBank genome assembly. NCBI's taxonomy places the organism in Eukaryota, Metazoa, Mollusca, Cephalopoda, Sepiida, Sepiidae.
UAUGGCCAUAUCACAUUAAAACACUGGUUCCCAUACAAUCACAAAAGUUAAGCAACAUUGAACCUGGUCAGUACCUAGAUGGAUGACUGUUUGGGAAUACCAGGUGCU